This 460-nucleotide ribosomal RNA is filed under the name uncultured bacterium. RNAcentral's name for it is "partial 16S ribosomal RNA". It matches the Rfam family "Bacterial small subunit ribosomal RNA", at positions 338 to 795 of the family's 1533-position model. The record is from RNAcentral.
CCUACGGGGGGCAGCAGUGAGGAAUAUUGGUCAAUGGACGAAAGUCUGAACCAGCCAAGCCGCGUGAAGGAAGACGGCUCUAUGAGUUGUAAACUGCUUUUGUACGGGAGUAAACGCAGAUACGCGUAUCUGUCUGAAAGUAUCGUACGAAUAAGGAUCGGCUAACUCCGUGCCAGCAGCCGCGGUAAUACGGAGGAUCCAAGCGUUAUCCGGAUUUAUUGGGUUUAAAGGGUGCGUAGGCGGUCUGAUAAGUUAGCGGUGAAAGCCCGAGGCUCAACUUCGGAAUUGCCUUUGAUACUGUUCGGCUAGAGUGUAGUUGCGGUAGGCGGAAUGUAUGGUGUAGCGGUGAAAUGCUUAGAGAUCAUGCAGAACCCCGAUUGCGAAGGCAGCUUACCAAGCUACUUCUGACGUUGAGGCACGAAAGCGUGGGGAGCAAACAGGAUUAGAUACCCUUGUAGUC